GACGAACCGUCCAAACGUUAUUCGGAAUUACUGGGCUUAAAGGGUGCGUAGGCGGCGCGGCAAGUUGGGUGUGAAAUCCCUCGGCUCAACCGAGGAACUGCGCCCAAAACUACCGUGCUCGAGGGAGAUAGAGGUGAGCGGAACUUAGGGUGGAGCGGUGAAAUGCGUUGAUAUCCUAAGGAACACCCGUGGCGAAAGCGGCUCACUGGGUCUCUUCUGGCGCUGAGGCACGACAGCGUGGGGAGCAAACAGG
This 253-nucleotide ribosomal RNA is filed under the name uncultured bacterium. RNAcentral's name for it is "partial 16S ribosomal RNA". It matches the Rfam family "Bacterial small subunit ribosomal RNA", at positions 524 to 776 of the family's 1533-position model. The record is from RNAcentral.